This 508-nucleotide ribosomal RNA is filed under the name uncultured bacterium. RNAcentral describes it as "partial 16S ribosomal RNA". It matches the Rfam family "Bacterial small subunit ribosomal RNA", at positions 28 to 523 of the family's 1533-position model. The record is from RNAcentral.
GAUGAACGCUAGCAACAGGCUUAACACAUGCAAGUCGAGGGGAAACGAUAUUGGAAGCUUGCUUCCGAUAGGCGUCGACCGGCGCACGGGUGAGUAACGCGUAUCCAACCUGCCCACCACUUGGGAAUAACCUUGCGAAAGUAAGACUAAUGCCCAAUGAUAUCUCUAGAAGACAUCUGAAGGAAAUUAAAGAUUUAUCGGUGAUGGAUGGGGAUGCGUCUGAUUAGCUUGUUGGCGGGGUAACGGCCCACCAAGGCGACGAUCAGUAGGGGUUCUGAGAGGAAGGUCCCCCACAUUGGAACUGAGACACGGUCCAAACUCCUACGGGAGGCAGCAGUGAGGAAUAUUGGUCAAUGGGCGAGAGCCUGAACCAGCCAAGUAGCGUGCAGGAUGACGGCCCUAUGGGUUGUAAACUGCUUUUAUAAGGGAAUAAAGUUAGUCUCGUGAGACUUUUUGCAUGUACCUUAUGAAUAAGGACCGGCUAAUUCCGUGCCAGCAGCCGCAGUAA